RNAcentral lists this long non-coding RNA (2573 nucleotides) under Sus scrofa (pig). RNAcentral's name for it is "lncRNA (ENSSSCG00040059716.1)". Lineage: Eukaryota; Metazoa; Chordata; Mammalia; Artiodactyla; Suidae. The record is from RNAcentral.
ACUGUGGCAUGUGGAAGUUUCUGGGCCAGGAAUCGAACCCACACCACAGCAGCGACCCAAGCUCCUGCAGCAACAACACCGGAUCCUUAAUCCACUGUGCCCCUAGAGUCCGCUGGGGGUGAUUUUUAUUUCAUUGCCUCAGCCAAUAACAGGAAGAUCCCUGAAGUUGAGGGCGGGGCGAGAGAUGAUGAGGAGAGGCUGCUCGCUAAGAACCCCCUCCCUUCCAGGUCUUUACCAAUUUCAUACCGUGGAGUUACAGGUGGCAUCUCAUCUUUAAACAGGUUCCCACUGCUUAAGAUACAAAACAAAGGAACAAAAAGAAAACCCUUUGAAGGGGUCAGUCUUGAAGAUCCCUUAAAAUGUAACAGGAAAUACAUGUAUGAGAGUCAUCAUAUCUCAGUGCAUUUGGAGCUGUGAUGCCAGGAGUAUAUGCCCAAUCCCCCCUUCCAGUUUAAAGCAUGAACCGACAUCCCCAGUGAAGCUGAAAAGUAAGACUCAUCUACUCGGAGUAAAAUUAAUACUUCCGCUCACAGGCAGGUAGUAAAUGAAUGUUUUUUAGAAUAAAGGAAGACAGGGUCUCCUGUCCCAGGAACGGCUUAGCUGCUUUCGUGAUAGUUUGAUCACUACAUGCUAGCAACUGACUACGGUUAGAAGUGUGCAAGCCGGCCUUCCUCAUUCAACCAAGCGGUGCCCCAGGGAAAGAGAGACAAUGCUGCCUGCUUGUCCUCCAGCUGGAACCACCCCCUCCCAGGUCAUGCAAAUAAGGAUGGGUUCAGCAUCACUCACUGGAUAAACUUUAAUCUCCAAGUCACCUACUGAAUAUGAUUUACCCCUCUCUCCACUUUGCAGAGAGGUAAACUGAGACAUGGAAACAAGAAAUCAAACCUUUGUGCUGAAGGUCAAGGACUGGCUUUCAAACUCCAAAACUCACGGACCUUGGGUAAGUUAUCUUACUCUCCUGGUCCCAGUUUUUCCAGUUGCCAAGCAGUUCAUGGGUAAAUCCAUGUGAAGUUCUUAGGAAAGUACUUGGCACACAGCAAACACUCAGCUUGUGCUAGCUAUUGCUUUCAUCAUUUUAUUUGUCAUUAAGUUAAUACGUGCCAAGCACUUUGCAAAGUUUGAACAGACCAUUCAACAAACAUUUGUUGAGUACCUAAAAGGUGCUAGGCACCGUUCACUAUUUCAUUUAAUCCCACAACACUUUGAGGUAGCUCGGGUCACAGCUGUGACUGGGUUUGAUCCGUGGCCUCGGAAUUUUUGCAUGCCAUGGAUAUGGCCGGAAAGAAAAAAAAAGUCACCUAGCCCAGAGUGGUCCUGUAAAUAGUGGCUGCUAUCAUUAACAUAAUCAUUUAUGUCGCUAUGCUGUUUAGUAUACUGUUUCCCAAAUACCAGGCAAUCACAUAGCACCUCUGUGCUUUUAACACAUGUAUCUCGACAUACUGAAUAUUUUUACUAAGUGAUCAGUGUUUUCGAUAAUUUGAAUAAACUGCUUGGCACAAAACCUGGACAAUAAUGAUAAUAACAAUAAUAACAAUAAUUAUUGUUUACUAUUAUUUUAUUGCAUGCCAGCCCAAGGGAAUCAAAGGACACGUGGCCUAGGUCACUCUGCUCAUACAGGGCUAAGUCUAGCGUGAAGACACAUAAAGCAGUGCCAAACGCACUGAGGAACAUUCUACAGCAGGAAUUCAGAUCUGUGUCUGGUGAGAAAAAUCAGGCAAGACUUCACAGAGGAGGCAGCCUCUGAUUUAUGACAGGACGACGAAGAGUUUGUCAAAUACACCAUUAAAGGGCAUCCCCAGCAGAGAGCCUACGUCUAAGCCCUCAAAAACCCCAGCCCCAGCACAGGCCUAAUGGCCUGCAGAUCCCAUCUGACAUGUAAAAAGCUGACAAUUAGGAAUCGCCUCCACCUCCUCCAAGCUUAUUUUCAUGCCAGAGACUUCCAGAGAGAGAAGGGUGAGCAGAAAGAAAAGCUCUUGAGUCAUCUGCUUAUUGUAAAGAAAUACAACCUCGUGUUCCUUUGUCAUUCCCAAAGGGACGCUUCAACACGACAGGCUAAUCACCUGCAAAAUUACUGCAAGGAGCUGGUUCUUACUUAUGUACAAGCAGAAGAGCAUUCCAAGCAUCUUCACAUGGCUGGUUUUAUAACUCAAGAAAGACUGCUCUGAUUUAGCUUAUUUUUCCAAUUCAAACUCAGAAGAUAAUGGAACAAAUGGAUCCUGGGACCUGUCAAAGGAGAGGGGAAGAGAAAUGCAGGAAACAAGCCCAGGGUAAUCAAUGCGGGCUUCUUACAUGGAGGCGUGGAGAUAGUGUAAUCAUUUCGGAGGCCAGAGCAUAGAGUAUAAGGCUCUUGAGUAUUUUUAUAUAGAAGAUGUUACUCUUAAAAUCCUGAUGAUGUGUCAAGUCUGUAGAUUAAGCCCUGCCUCGUAGCCCAGAAUGGUAUACGUCACUCAUGCAGAUUGCUUACGGCGUUCACGCUUGUUCUGCCUUUUUUUUUUUUUUUCAGGUCCAAGAAGCAUCCCCACCACAGUCUAGUAAAGCUUUUCAUGGAAAAUUUCUCCGAGGAAACCAGUCUC